Pezoporus flaviventris is the source of this 439-nucleotide long non-coding RNA. RefSeq lists it as uncharacterized. Lineage: Eukaryota; Metazoa; Chordata; Aves; Psittaciformes; Psittacidae. The record is from RefSeq and is a predicted model, not a curated record. The transcript is spliced from 3 exons.
CAACGGCGGGGAGGAGGUUGGGGGUGGGGGGAGAGACUCUUCAUGUACAAAGCCACCGACGGGUGUUACAUUUGCUUUCAGCGACCUUACGAUCUUCCCAUAUAAAACAUCAAAGCACUCCUUUGCUUAAAGGUAAAAAUCACUGCACAACUCAACCCUCUUGUCAAGGUCAAGACCUACCUUUAAUGAAUGAAGCCAGUCUGAAUGGAAAAACACUGGAUAAUAAAUGACUUUGAAAGACAGGCCAGCCAAUGUCUAAUGUUGGACUAACGCAGUACCUCCUGAUUAUUUGCUGGUGUUUGGUAUAUGACAAAUAGUCGACCACACUGGCAAGAGCACUUUGACAACUGGAAGCUUUCAGCGCAUGCUCUCCCAAGGAAUCCUGGGGGUUGAAGUCUUAGCUAUAGAUGGCAUUUCACUGCUGCCUAUCCUGAAAGGA